CGUGUAGGCGGGUGGGAGCGUCGGCCACUGAAAGCCCCCGGCUCAACCGGGGAAGGGGUGCCGAGACGUCCCGCCUGGAGGGGCGUAGGGGGACCCGGAACUUCCGGUGGAGCGGUGAAAUGCGUUGAGAUCGGAAGGAACGCCCGUGGCGAAAGCGGGGUCCUGGACGCCAACUGACGCUGAGACGCGAAAGCCAGGGGAGCGAACGGGAUUAGAUACCCCGGUAGUCCUGGCCGUAAACGAUGGGCACUGGGUAGGGGGCUCGCCGAUGGGCCCCCUGCCGCAGCGAAAGCGUGAAGUGCCCCGCCUGGGGAGUAUGGUCGCAAGGCUGAA
This 333-nucleotide ribosomal RNA is filed under the name uncultured bacterium. Its description in RNAcentral is "bacterial SSU rRNA". It matches the Rfam family "Bacterial small subunit ribosomal RNA", at positions 568 to 898 of the family's 1533-position model. The record is from RNAcentral.